This 460-nucleotide ribosomal RNA is filed under the name uncultured bacterium. Its description in RNAcentral is "partial 16S ribosomal RNA". It matches the Rfam family "Bacterial small subunit ribosomal RNA", at positions 338 to 795 of the family's 1533-position model. The record is from RNAcentral.
CCUACGGGUGGCAGCAGUGAGGAAUAUUGGUCAAUGGACGAAAGUCUGAACCAGCCAAGCAGCGUGAAGGAUGACUGCCUUAUGGUUGGUAAACUUCUUUUAUAUGGUAAUAAAAUGUUCCACGUGUGGGAUUUUGUAUGUACCAUAUGAAUAAAGAACGGCUAACUCCGUGCCAGCAGCCGCGGUAAUACGGAGGCUCCGGGCGUUAUCCGGAUUUAUUGGGUUUAAAGGGAGCGUAGGUGGAUUGUUAAGUCAGUUGUGAAAGUUUGCGGCUAAACCGUAAAAUUGCAGUUGAAACUGGCAGUCUUGGGUACAGUAGAGGUGGGCGGAAUUCGUGGUGUAGCGGUGAAAUGCUUAGAUAUCACGAAGAACUCCGAUUGCGAAGGCAGUUCACUGGACUGCAACUGACACUGAGGCUCGAAAGUGUGGGUAGCAAACAGGAUUAGAUACCCCAGUAGUC